Molecule: ribosomal RNA, 758 nt
Filed under: uncultured bacterium
Lineage: Bacteria
Description: bacterial SSU rRNA
Rfam family: Bacterial small subunit ribosomal RNA
Source: RNAcentral
GGGUGAGUAACACGUAUGCAACCUGCCUGUAAGAGGGGAAUAACCCGGUGAAAGACGGACUAAUACCGCAUAAUACUAAAUUACUGCAUGGUAAUUUAUUUAAACAUUUAUGGCUUACAGAUGGGCAUGCGCAUGAUUAGAUAGUUGGAGAGGUAACGGCUCCCCAAGUCAACGAUCAUUAGGGGUUCUGAGAGGAAGGUCCCCCACACUGGUACUGAGACACGGACCAGACUCCUACGGGAGGCAGCAGUGAGGAAUAUUGGUCAAUGGGCGAGAGCCUGAACCAGCCAAGUCGCGUGCAGGAAGAAUGUCCUAUGGAUUGUAAACUGCUUUUGCAGGGGAAUAAAGUGAGCCACGUGUGGUUUUUUGUAUGUACUCUGCGAAUAAGGAUCGGCUAACUCCGUGCCAGCAGCCGCGGUAAUACGGAGGAUCCGAGCGUUAUCCGGAUUUAUUGGGUUUAAAGGGUGCGUAGGCGGGAUAAUAAGUCAGUGGUGAAAGUUUGCAGCUUAACUGUAAAAUUGCCGUUGAAACUGUUAUUCUUGAGAGUAGAUAAGGUAGGCGGAAUGUGUUGUGUAGCGGUGAAAUGCAUAGAUAUAACACAGAACCCCGGUUGCGAAGGCAGCUUACCGGGCUACAUCUGACGCUGAUGCACGAAAGCGUGGGGAUCAAACAGGAUUAGAUACCCUGGUAGUCCACGCAGUAAACGAUGAAUACUAGCUGUAUGCGAUAUAUUGUAUGUGGCAAAGCGAAAGCAUUAA